UGCAUGGCCGUUCUUAGUUGGUGCAGUGAUUUGUCUGGUUAAUUCCGUUAACGAACGAGAC
This 61-nucleotide ribosomal RNA is filed under the name Alexandrium margalefii. Its description in RNAcentral is "partial Eukaryotic small subunit ribosomal RNA". It matches the Rfam family "Eukaryotic small subunit ribosomal RNA", at positions 1281 to 1341 of the family's 1831-position model. Lineage: Eukaryota; Dinophyceae; Gonyaulacales; Pyrocystaceae. The record is from RNAcentral.